Molecule: ribosomal RNA, 483 nt
Filed under: uncultured bacterium
Lineage: Bacteria
Description: partial 16S ribosomal RNA
Rfam family: Bacterial small subunit ribosomal RNA
Source: RNAcentral
GACGAACGCUGGCGGCGUGCUUAACACAUGCAAGUCGAACGAUGAAGCUGGAGCUUGCUCCGGUGGAUUAGUGGCGAACGGGUGAGUAACACGUGAGCAAUCUGCCCUUGACUCUAGGAUAACUGCGGGAAACUGUAGUUAAUACCGGAUACGAGAUUUGGAGGCAUCUCCGGAUCUGGAAAGACUUUCGGUCAAGGAUGAGCUCGCGGCCUAUCAGCUUGUUGGUGAGGUAAUGGCUCACCAAGGCGACGACGGGUAGCCGGCCUGAGAGGGUGACCGGCCACACUGGGACUGCGACACGGACCAGACUCCUACGGGAGGCAGCAGUGGGGAAUAUUGCACAAUGGGCGAAAGCCUGAUGCAGCAACGCCGCGUGAGGGAUGAAGGCCUUCGGGUUGUAAACCUCUUUUAGUAGGGAAGAAGCGAAAGUGACGAUACCUACAGAAAAAGCACCGGCUAACUACGUGCCAGCCGCCGCGGUAA